RNAcentral lists this ribosomal RNA (492 nucleotides) under uncultured bacterium. RNAcentral describes it as "partial 16S ribosomal RNA". It matches the Rfam family "Bacterial small subunit ribosomal RNA", at positions 29 to 507 of the family's 1533-position model. The record is from RNAcentral.
AGUGAACGCUGGCGGUAGGCCUAACACAUGCAAGUCGAACGGCAGCACAGUAAGAGCUUGCUCUUACGGGUGGCGAGUGGCGGACGGGUGAGGAAUACAUCGGAAUCUACUUUUUCGUGGGGGAUAACGUAGGGAAACUUACGCUAAUACCGCAUACGACCUACGGGUGAAAGCAGGGGAUCUUCGGACCUUGCGCGAUUGAAUGAGCCGAUGUCGGAUUGGCUAGUUGGCGGGGUAAAGGCCCACCAAGGCGGCGAUCCGUAGCUGGUCUGAGAGGCUGAUCAGCCACAUGGGAGCUUGGACACGGUCCAGACUCCUGCGGGAGGGAGCAGUGUGGAAUAUUGGACAAUGGGCGCAAGCCUGAUCCAGCCAUACCGCGUGGGUGAAGAAGGCCUUCGGGUUGUAAAGCCCUUUUGUUGGGAAAGAAAAGCAGCAGGUUAAUACCCCGCUGUUCUGACGGUACCCAAAGAAUAAGCACCGGCUAACUUCGUG